RNAcentral lists this long non-coding RNA (222 nucleotides) under Mytilus galloprovincialis (Mediterranean mussel). Lineage: Eukaryota; Metazoa; Mollusca; Bivalvia; Mytilida; Mytilidae. The record is from RNAcentral.
GAUGACCGUGGCUCAAAACUAAUUGUGGAUGCGUAGAAAAAAAGAAAUAGUUCCUUACAUUAAUUUCAUAACAUUUCUCAGUUGCAAUAGUUGCAAUAUACCAGCUUUACCUGCAUUUGGAAUAUACAUUUCCCAAUUCAUUCAAUAUUCAAGAUCUUGUAGCUGCUACUCAAACUUUUUAAAACGUCACCAGUGUCUUAGCAGAAAGUUGAUGAACCAGGG